GUGGCGAACGGGUGAGUAACACGUGAGCAAUCUGCCCUUGACUCUGGGAUAACUGCGGGAAACUGUAGCUAAUACCGGAUACUUUCCUCGCUGGGCAUCCAGCGGGGAAGAAAGAAUUUCGGUCAAGGAUGAGCUCGCGGCCUAUCAGCUAGUUGGUGAGGUAAAGGCUCACCAAGGCGACGACGGGUAGCCGGCCUGAGAGGGUGACCGGCCACACUGGAACUGAGACACGGUCCAGACUCCUACGGGAGGCAGCAGUGGGGAAUAUUGCACAAUGGGCGAAAGCCUGAUGCAGCAACGCCGCGUGAGGGAUGAAGGCCUUCGGGUUGUAAACCUCUUUUAGCAGGGAAGAAGCGAAAGUGACGGUACCUGCAGAAAAAGCACCGGCUAAUUACGUGCCAGCAGCCGCGGUAAUACGUAGGGUGCAAGCGUUGUCCGGAAUUAUUGGGCGUAAAGAGCUCGUAGGCGGUUUGUCACGUCUGCUGUGAAAAUCCGAGGCUCAACCUCGGACUUGCAGUGGGUACGGGCAGGCUAGAGUGCGGUAGGGGAGAAGGGAAUUCCUGGUGUAGCGGUGGAAUGCGCAGAUAUCAGGAGGAACACCAAUGGCGAAGGCACUUCUCUGGGCCGUAACUGACGCUGAGGAGCGAAAGCGUGGGGAGCGAACAGGAUUAGAUACCCUGGUAGUCCAC
RNAcentral lists this ribosomal RNA (689 nucleotides) under uncultured Microbacteriaceae bacterium. RNAcentral's name for it is "bacterial SSU rRNA". It matches the Rfam family "Bacterial small subunit ribosomal RNA", at positions 95 to 798 of the family's 1533-position model. Lineage: Bacteria; Bacillati; Actinomycetota; Actinomycetes; Micrococcales; Microbacteriaceae. The record is from RNAcentral.